AGAGGGUGCGAGCGUUGUUCGGAAUUAUUGGGCGUAAAGGGCGCGUAGGCGGCGCGGUAAGUCACCUGUGAAAUCUCCUGGCUCAACUGGGAGCUUGCAGGCGAAACUGCCGUGCUGGAGUGUGGGAGAGGUGCGUGGAAUUCCUGGUGUAGCGGUGAAAUGCGUAGAUAUCAGGAGGAACACCUGUGGCGAAAGCGGCGCACUGGACCACAACUGACGCUGAGGCGCGAAAGCUAGGGGAGCAAACAGGAUUAGAUACCCUGGUAGUCCUAGCCCUAAACGAUGGAUGCUUGGUGUGAUCGGUACCCAAUCCGAUCGUGCCGAAGCUAACGCGAUAAGCAUCCCGCCUGGGGAGUACGGUCGCAAGGCUG
Molecule: ribosomal RNA, 371 nt
Filed under: uncultured bacterium
Lineage: Bacteria
Description: bacterial SSU rRNA
Rfam family: Bacterial small subunit ribosomal RNA
Source: RNAcentral